ACACCACAUGGCAGGAAGUGUAAUGUUUGAUGAUCAUAUAUACGGUAGAUCUCUGCCUCUGGAAUAGAUUCAGCAUGCCCAAUCCCAGAAUGAAGUUGAGACAUCUGAGUUGUGUCCCCUUCUUUGUCAUAAUGCCAGCUAGUGUAAAGCUGAGAUUGAUCAAUGUACUCUAAGCUAACUUAGGACUGUGCUCUAGACCUGGUGUAUUCCUAAGGGAAUAGAGAGCCAACAGGUGAAUCACAAGAAGCAACUACCUAAACAAAGUUGAGAAUCUGAGAGUGUCCUACCAAACCUAUCCUGUCCUGUUCGAAGAAUUCCAGGCCAAGAAAAGUGAUGCACAGACUUCUACACUCUCUACACAUUUACUUGUUUUUAAAUGUCUAAAAUUGUUUGAAAAAGUUUAAUUACUUACUAGUACCGUGCAUAUGCAUGUAUCCACAUUUCAACAAUGAUAAAGCCAUUUAUUCCCAAGUCAAUAAAACAAUGUAUCAGUGUUUUCAAUAUUUUUAUUUGAAUUCAAGAUAAAAAGGUUAUUACAUGUA
Saccostrea echinata is the source of this 542-nucleotide long non-coding RNA. RefSeq lists it as uncharacterized. The transcript is spliced from 3 exons. NCBI's taxonomy places the organism in Eukaryota, Metazoa, Mollusca, Bivalvia, Ostreida, Ostreidae. The record is from RefSeq and is a predicted model, not a curated record.